UUAACUUAUAUUUGUAUGGAAUGGGAUCGUUUGCGUACGUUUGCCGCUAGGGGCGCUGUUCCAACUGCAUACAAAAUUGGGUUA
RNAcentral lists this microRNA precursor (84 nucleotides) under Bombyx mori (domestic silkworm). RNAcentral describes it as "mir-2807 microRNA precursor family". It matches the Rfam family "mir-2807 microRNA precursor family". Lineage: Eukaryota; Metazoa; Arthropoda; Insecta; Lepidoptera; Bombycidae. The record is from Rfam by way of RNAcentral.